This 463-nucleotide ribosomal RNA is filed under the name uncultured bacterium. RNAcentral's name for it is "partial 16S ribosomal RNA". It matches the Rfam family "Bacterial small subunit ribosomal RNA", at positions 338 to 794 of the family's 1533-position model. The record is from RNAcentral.
CCUACGGGAGGCAGCAGUAGGGAAUCUUCGUCAAUGGGCGCAAGCCUGAACGAGCAAUGCCGCGUGAACGAGGAAGGUCUUCGGAUCGUAAAGUUCUGUUGAAGGGGAAAAAGAGCGGAGAGAGGAAAUGGUCUCCGAUUGAUAUUACCCUUCGAGGAAGUCACGGCUAACUACGUGCCAGCAGCCGCGGUAAUACGUAGGUGGCGAGCGUUAUCCGGAAUGAUUGGGCGUAAAGGGUGCGUAGGCGGCCUGCUAAGUCUGGAGUGAAAGGUACCGGCUCAACCGGUACAGGCUCUGGAAACUGGCGGGCUAGAGAGCAGGAGAGGGCGGUGGAACUCCAUGUGUGGCGGUAAAAUGCGUAGAUAUAUGGAAGAACACCAGUGGCGAAGGCGGCCGCCUGGCCUGUUACUGACGCUGAGGCACGAAAGCGUGGGGAGCAAAUAGGAUUAGAUACCCCUGUAGU